RNAcentral lists this RNase P RNA (374 nucleotides) under Alphaproteobacteria bacterium. Its description in RNAcentral is "RNase P RNA component class A". It matches the Rfam family "Bacterial RNase P class A". Rfam says of the family: Ribonuclease P (RNase P) is a ubiquitous endoribonuclease, found in archaea, bacteria and eukarya as well as chloroplasts and mitochondria. Its best characterised activity is the generation of mature 5'-ends of tRNAs by cleaving the 5'-leader elements of precursor-tRNAs. Lineage: Bacteria; Pseudomonadati; Pseudomonadota; Alphaproteobacteria. The record is from RNAcentral.
UCAGAUGGCCGGAUGGCUGCGGGACAUCCUGCAACGGAUGUGUCGAGGAAAGUCCGGGCUCCACGGAAACACGGUGACGGAUAACGUCCGCCCAGGGCGACCUGAGGGACAGCGCCACAGAAAUCACACCGCCUACCCGCGCGAGCGGCGGCAAGGUUGAAAUGGUGCGGUAAGAGCGCACCGCGUCUCUGGCAACAGAGACGGCAUGGCAAGCCCCACCGGGAGCAAGACCGAAUAGGGAUGGCAGUUGAUCGGUUUCCGGAUCGCCGUCCGGGUGGGUCGCGUGAGGCGCGCAGCAAUGCGCGUCCGAGAGGAAUGGCCAUCGCUUCACGCAUGUGAAGGCACAGAACCCGGCUUACAGGCCAUCUGACACU